RNAcentral lists this ribosomal RNA (445 nucleotides) under uncultured bacterium. Its description in RNAcentral is "partial 16S ribosomal RNA". It matches the Rfam family "Bacterial small subunit ribosomal RNA", at positions 354 to 796 of the family's 1533-position model. The record is from RNAcentral.
GUGAGGAAUAUUGGACAAUGGGCGCAAGCCUGAUCCAGCCAUGCCGCGUGCAGGAAGACGCAUCUAUGGUGUGUAAACUGCUUUUGUACGGGAAGAAACACUCCCUCGUGAGGGAGCUUGACGGUACCGUAAGAAUAAGGAUCGGCUAACUCCGUGCCAGCAGCCGCGGUAAUACGGAGGAUCCAAGCGUUAUCCGGAAUCAUUGGGUUUAAAGGGUCCGUAGGCGGUUUAAUAAGUCAGUGGUGAAAGCCCAUCGCUCAACGAUGGAACGGCCAUUGAUACUGUUAGACUUGAAUUACAAGGAAGUAACUAGAAUAUGUAGUGUAGCGGUGAAAUGCCUAGAUAUUACAUGGAAUACCAAUUGCGAAGGCAGGUUACUACUUGUGGAUUGACGCUGAUGGACGAAAGCGUGGGGAGCGAACAGGAUUAGAAACCCCGGUAGUCC